Molecule: ribosomal RNA, 582 nt
Filed under: uncultured fungus
Lineage: Eukaryota; Fungi
Description: eukaryotic LSU rRNA
Rfam family: Eukaryotic large subunit ribosomal RNA
Source: RNAcentral
AUAUCAAUAAGCGGAGGAAAAGAAACCAACAGGGAUUGCCCUAGUAACGGCGAGUGAAGCGGCAACAGCUCAAAUUUGAAAUCUGGCCUUGUGCCCGAGUUGUAAUUUGCAGAGGAGUACUUUUGGCGCGGCGCCUUCUAAGUUCCCUGGAACGGGACGCCACAGAGGGUGAGAGCCCCGUACCGUCGGCAGCCAAGCCUGUGUAAGGUCUCCUUCGACGAGUCGAGUAGUUUGGGAAUGCUGCUCAAAAUGGGAGGUAAAUGCCUUCUAAAGCUAAAUACCGGCCAGAGACCGAUAGCGCACAAGUAGAGUGAUCGAAAGAUGAAAAGCACUUUGAAAAGAGGGUUAAAUAGUACGUGAAAUUGUUGAAAGGGAAGCGCCUAUGACCAGACUUGUGCCCGGUUGAUCAUCCAGCGUUAUGCGCUGGUGCACUCUUCCGGCCCAGGCCAGCAUCGGUUUCGCCGGGGGGAUAAAGGCAGCGGGAAUGUAGCUCUUCGGAGUGUUAUAGCCCGCCGCACAAUACCCCCGUGGGGACCGAGGUACGCGCUUCUGCAAGGAUGCUGGCGUAAUGGUCAUCAGCGA